UACGUAGGGUGCAAGCGUUGUCCGGAAUUAUUGGGCGUAAAGAGCUCGUAGGCGGUUUGUCGCGUCUGCUGUGAAAACCCGAGGCUCAACCGCGGGCCUGCAUUCGAUACGGGCAGGCUAGAGUUCGGUAGGGGAGACUGGAAUUCCUGGUGUAGCGGUGGAAUGCGCAGAUAUCAGGAGGAACACCAAUGGCGAAGGCAGAUCUCUGGGCCGUAACUGACGCUGAGGAGCGAAAGCAUGGGGAGCGAACAGG
This 253-nucleotide ribosomal RNA is filed under the name uncultured bacterium. Its description in RNAcentral is "partial 16S ribosomal RNA". It matches the Rfam family "Bacterial small subunit ribosomal RNA", at positions 524 to 776 of the family's 1533-position model. The record is from RNAcentral.